GCAGACUGUGAGAAUGGGCUUUUAUUAUAUUCAUGUUUUGUACCUGGAAACAACGUAAAAGGCGCUGGUGUUGGACUGACUAAAGGGACACAGCUAGCCUGAACUGCGUCAGUGAGAUGGGCCAAUAUAAUUGCUCAGCAUACCCACAGAUGUCCUCAAGUAAUGGCUCACUCAUUGUUGUACUGGUCAAUCACCAAAGGAAAUCGAUGCAUUUGGGGUCACUUUGAAGAGCAGAGCAACACAAUGUUAAACACUAAAUCACUUUUAAGAUGGAGUUGCAGAGCAUGAAGGCGAGGCCACAGCAGAAGGACGAGCGAUGAAGAACUGGGAGAGAUGCAAAGACCAUGGGAAGACCUACACCAGCAAGUGGUGAAGGCUGUGGACAAGACCGUGUUGAAGAAAUGGAAGUCGUACUUUUAAAUACAGGAUGACAUUUGUGCAAAAAAGAAAAGCUUAAUAAAACAUUUGGAAAGAGUCUCAUUCAUCUAAAUAUUUCACAUGAAGUUCUGGAUGUAAUUCAAUGUUAAACGUAUACUAGCAUUACAUAUUUAAGUAGAAAGAUUCAGAGAAAUUGAACUUGAACACCUCUAAAACUGUGAUAUUUUUCAUUCUUGACAAACCCAGUGUUGUAGCAGCAGCGUUUGAGCCACGGUCCUUCCAUUUAGCUGGCAGAGUUUUGGUACAAGUCUUCUCAUAGUUGGCUUCAAUGGAAAUGCUGUUGUUUUUUUAGUACAGAGGCUUCUUGUGGGCAGUUGAAGAUUUGUACUCACUCAUUUAUAGUCAAUGUUUGGGUUCAAAUUAAACCCAGAUUAAAAACAAGUCU
Molecule: long non-coding RNA, 823 nt
Filed under: Neogobius melanostomus (round goby)
Lineage: Eukaryota; Metazoa; Chordata; Actinopteri; Gobiiformes; Gobiidae
Description: lncRNA (ENSNMLG00000000536.1)
Source: RNAcentral